RNAcentral lists this ribosomal RNA (496 nucleotides) under uncultured bacterium. RNAcentral describes it as "partial 16S ribosomal RNA". It matches the Rfam family "Bacterial small subunit ribosomal RNA", at positions 28 to 507 of the family's 1533-position model. The record is from RNAcentral.
GAUGAACGCUGGCGGCGUGCCUAAUACAUGCGAGUCGAGCGAACAGACGAGGAGCUUGCUCCUCUGACGUUAGCGGCGGACGGGUGAGUAACACGUGGAUAACCUACCUAUAAGACUGGGAUAACUUCGGGAAACCGGAGCUAAUACCGGAUAAUAUAUUGAACCGCAUGGUUCAAUAGUGAAAGACGGUUUUGCUGUCACUUAUAGAUGGAUCCGCGCCGCAUAGCUAGUUGGUAAGGUAACGGCUUACCAAGGCAACGAUGCGUAGCCGACCUGAGAGGGUGAUCGGCCACACUGGAACUGAGACACGGUCCAGACUCCUACGGGAGGCAGCAGUAGGGAAUCUUCCGCAAUGGGCGAAAGCCUGACGGAGCAACGCCGCGUGAGUGAUGAAGGUCUUCGGAUCGUAAAACUCUGUUAUUAGGGAAGAACAAAUGUGUAAGUAACUAUGCACGUCUUGACGGUACCUAAUCAGAAAGCCACGGCUAACUACGUG